Molecule: ribosomal RNA, 468 nt
Filed under: Flavobacterium sp. 01WB03.1-30
Lineage: Bacteria; Pseudomonadati; Bacteroidota; Flavobacteriia; Flavobacteriales; Flavobacteriaceae
Description: bacterial SSU rRNA
Rfam family: Bacterial small subunit ribosomal RNA
Source: RNAcentral
UGAGCUUGAUCCUGGCUCAGGAUGAACGCUAGCGGCAGGCUUAACACAUGCAAGUCGAGGGGUAUUGGUUUUCGGACCAAGAGACCGGCGCACGGGUGCGUAACGCGUAUGCAAUCUACCUUUUACAGAGGGAUAGCCCAGAGAAAUUUGGAUUAAUACCUCAUAGUAUGGCGACAUCGCAUGAUGAUGCCAUUAAAGUCACAACGGUAAAAGAUGAGCAUGCGUCCCAUUAGCUAGUUGGUAAGGUAACGGCUUACCAAGGCUACGAUGGGUAGGGGUCCUGAGAGGGAGAUCCCCCACACUGGUACUGAGACACGGACCAGACUCCUACGGGAGGCAGCAGUGAGGAAUAUUGGACAAUGGGCGCAAGCCUGAUCCAGCCAUGCCGCGUGCAGGAUGACGGUCCUAUGGAUUGUAAACUGCUUUUGUACAGGAAGAAACAACUCUACGUGUAGAGUCUGACGGUAC